Long non-coding RNA from Apis cerana (Asiatic honeybee), 865 nucleotides. RefSeq lists it as uncharacterized. NCBI's taxonomy places the organism in Eukaryota, Metazoa, Arthropoda, Insecta, Hymenoptera, Apidae. The record is from RefSeq and is a predicted model, not a curated record.
CUUCCAUCACGGCAUUGGCUAUGGCACAAGACACUGGAUUCCCACCAUACUAGAAUUCAAGGAAAUUUAUUUCGAAAGAUAUUUUCAUAAAAAUAAUAUCUGGUGUUUUGAAACAUUGGAGAAUAGUUUUAUCAUAUUAUUUUCUUCACAUAGGAUAAAUAAAUUAGAUUAUUUCUAAAAAUAUACAAGAUUUAUACGAAUUUUCCAACUACGGAUUACUUCAUAGAUAAAAAAAUGUAUGAAAUUUCAAAUCAAUUGCAACAUUGUAAACAAUAAAAAAUAUUAGUUGGAAUAUUAACUAAGGAGAGCAGCAUGUUUCAUUGCAAAACAAUUACAUUAGACGAUAAGAAGAUCAUAAAUCAUGAAUCACCUGAUAAUUUACAUCAAUAUCAUUAUUUAUAGAAAUGUUUCAUAAUGAUUUCAAGGAAAACACAUUCUGACAUUUAUCUAUAAAUAAAUAAAAAAAAUAUAAUAAUGGAACGGAUAUGAAAAAUCAUUAAAAAAAAUUAAAAAACAAAAAAAUUUUUUAAAAUUAAAAAAUUUAAGUUCUUACCGUAUUGAAGUAUUCGAUUCCACUGUUUUUGAAGCUUUCAGCAAUGGCUGGAGUCGUAAUCACGGCCGCCACCGGAUGCCCAUUGCCCAUAGGUUUACCUACAGUGACUAUAUCCGGAAUCACGUCUUCACCAUAAAGUUGAAAGGCCCACAUGUGGCUACCAACCCUUCCAAAACCAACUUGAACCUCGUCCGCGAUGCAAACACCACCAAUAUCUCUUACAUAUCUAUAAUUCAAUUAAUUAUUAUUCCAUUAAUUAUUCCAUAAUUAACGUUAUCGAUAUAUAAUAAAGAUAUUCAAUAAUUCAAAUAA